Molecule: unclassified non-coding RNA, 1027 nt
Filed under: Leishmania donovani
Lineage: Eukaryota; Euglenozoa; Kinetoplastea; Trypanosomatida; Trypanosomatidae
Description: gene:LdHU3.06.1080(CDS-product:Peptidyl-tRNA_hydr olase_PTH2_putative)
Source: RNAcentral
GUCGAGGCGUGCACAGUCGCGCUCACGCAAUUCCGCUCAGUGGCACGCCACCCAGAGCUCGUGCAGAGAAGAGAGUGGGCACGUUGGGUGCGAACUGUUGCCGGAUUGCCGCUGCGCGCACCGCCUUUUCGUACUGUUUUCGCUGUCAUACAGUCUCCCCAGCUGCGGCGUCGCCUUGCCUCGCCUCGCCCCUUUUCUCUCCAACACACCACCUCUUCAUGGACUACGAGGCCGCGGUGGCGCGCCUCUCCUCGCCCACCUUGUUCGCUAUCCUCCACGCGGCCUUCGGCGGCGCCAGCGAGCACGAGGCAGCCGUUUCAGCGGAAGCGGUGCGGAAGCCGUUCUGGGCAGGCUUUUCGGUAGGCUUCGCGCUCACCUUUGCUGCGGCGCUUGUGGCCAUGAAGGGCUUUUUGGCGUCGCUGUUCCGCCGGCCGUUGGAGAAGUGCCGGCCGCUGCGCAGCCUCGUUGCGACCGGUGAGCCGGUGAAGAUGGCGCUUGUCGUCCGGAAGGAUCUCAAAAUGAGCAACGGCAAGAUCGCCGCGCAGUGCGCGCAUGCCGCGGUGGCCAUCGUCGAGGAAAUUCUGGCCUUCAAGUCAACCACGACGACAAGCCCGCGGUCAGCCCUAAACCCCGCGUCCGCGUUGUGGGUACAGUGGUAUGACGCGUGGAACGCCAGCGGCUGCUCGAAGGUAGCUCUGCAGUGUCCCGAUGAGGCCGCCAUGAUGGCGCUAGCGAAGCACGCGCGGCAGAUGAACCUGCCUCACUACGUCAUCCGGGACGCCGGCCGCACGCAGGUGGCGCCGGGUAGCAAGACCGUCGUAGCCGUCGGGCCGGGGCCGAAGAGUUUGGUGGACGAGGUGACUGGGCAGCUGAAGCUACUCUGAUGGAGGGCACACGUGUGCGCACGCAUGUGCAUCCGCUGACUGGAUUCGAGCUGCUUGGCGGACCUCGUGAGGAUGACGAGGGAAAGGGGAGAGGAGGUGUCGUGAUUUGGAACAGCGGUCGCGGCGAAGCAGCCGCAAGUGUG